This 31-nucleotide unclassified non-coding RNA is filed under the name Pseudorhizobium banfieldiae. RNAcentral's name for it is "Rhizobium sp. NT-26 SraD". The record is from RNAcentral. Lineage: Bacteria; Pseudomonadati; Pseudomonadota; Alphaproteobacteria; Hyphomicrobiales; Rhizobiaceae.
GCAGGGACGCGUCCGGUUUUGAUGGCGACUG